RNAcentral lists this long non-coding RNA (1276 nucleotides) under Olea europaea subsp. europaea. Lineage: Eukaryota; Viridiplantae; Streptophyta; Magnoliopsida; Lamiales; Oleaceae. The record is from RNAcentral.
UAAAUUAGAGUCGUCUUCCUCUUUACCUUUUCAUCAUCUUCAAACCAGUAAAACUUCGGAGAUUCAAAAUUUGUACAUCGACGGCUUCUUCAACGACAAAAUUAUUGGCUUUGUUUUUAGUAUUGAGAGAAAUCAAGAAAAAGGAGUACUAAAAUUAACUGUAAAUGCUUAUAGCAACAUACCCGCCACCGUCGCUGUAUUGCAAGCUCUAUACGGACCAUCUACAGUAUCCCAACUCUGUUCUCGAGCCACUGCCCCCAAUCCCAGGUACCUAUGUUCUCUACGUUGCAAAUUACACUAACCUUAAUUAUCAAUUUUUAUUUGCAUUUUUCGUGUUGUGCUUUUGUAUGUAAGUUCCCAGAUGAAAGUUAGCUUUCUUAUACUAUAUUUGUGAAUUAGCAUUCCAGUAUGGUGACAGUCAAAAGGGUCUUUAAUCUUUCACCGGUUUUUCUUUUUAUUAAUUAUGGUUUUGAAUUGAGGAUGAGGUUGAAUAAAUAAUGGUGAAGGAAAGAAAGAAAUUUGUCCUUACUAAUUCAGCAAUUUCACUUUUAAAUUUUGAUUUGUUAGGAGAAACUCAUAAUUUUUUCAUGAUUGUCAUGUAUUGAAAACAUUUCAAUUAAAAUCUAGAGUGUAUAGUUCUCUAUAAAUUGUUAUUUAUUGCUUUGGAACUAAAUAAAUCAAUCCAUAUUGUAAAAAUUUAGUUGGCAAAAAUUUAUUCAUUUUCUUUUGAGUUAUGUAAAAUGAUAACCUUGUUUUAAACUUUUUAUGCAGAUUGAUGAUGUGCUUCCUACGCCUGAAGAGCAGAGUGUCCAUCAAUUGUACCCAAAAGGGCCAAAUGUUGGUAUGAUUUGCAUAUUGCUUCACUUUUUGACAAUGUUUUUGAAUGCGAAGGCUAUUGAAUCAGCCAUUAUACCACUUUAUUGCCAUCAGUAAACAUUUUAGUAUGAAAUUUUCAAGCAGUGUGUUGGCCUUUUGCUUUACUGCUAUUUGAUGAUCACUUGUACCUGUGGAGGUUCAAUAUAUGUUAGCUUGCACAUUUUUCUCCAUUUAUGUUGGAGUUUGUAAGUAAUUCACUCGGUUUCAUCUAACAACAAAAGCUCUCAAGAUGCAAUUGGCUUCUAUAUAGUUGUGGUUUUCACUACUUCUAUAGAUUAUCAGAAAGUAAUCUUUUGUUGAACUACAUAGUAUUUUCCUUGCUCUUUUAAGGGUUAUUAUUAGAUAGGCAAUAUGGGAGUCUUGUAAUUCUUGAUGGAUACACUUAUCCAUUACAUUGAAG